RNAcentral lists this transfer RNA (72 nucleotides) under Nanobdellota archaeon. RNAcentral describes it as "tRNA-Phe". It matches the Rfam family "tRNA". Rfam says of the family: Transfer RNA (tRNA) molecules are approximately 80 nucleotides in length. Their secondary structure includes four short double-helical elements and three loops (D, anti-codon, and T loops). RNAcentral also lists the same sequence under 1 other name. The record is from RNAcentral. Lineage: Archaea; Nanobdellati; Nanobdellota.
GGGAUUGUAGCUCAGCGGGAGAGCACACGGCUGAAGACCGUGGUGUCCGGGGUUCAAAUCCCCGCAGUCCCA